RNAcentral lists this long non-coding RNA (5857 nucleotides) under Homo sapiens (human). RNAcentral's name for it is "HSALNT0381388". Lineage: Eukaryota; Metazoa; Chordata; Mammalia; Primates; Hominidae. The record is from RNAcentral.
AAACCUCAUCUCUAAAAAUAAACAUAGAAAAAAAAAGAAGACAGAGUGAGGAUUCGCAUUGUUCUUCAAGGCUUUUUGAGUUGCCGUGUGUUUUGUUCAAAUGUGACCCGUGCACAUAGCCACUGAGAACAAGCUUCAGACACAGGCAGAACCUCAGUUCUAAGACAAUGGUUGUCCACUCACAACAAGCCAAUCAACUUCAACAGAGAACAACAAAAUUCAGAGGCAAAAUGAUGGGGUGCUUAUGGUAAUAGAAGGGAAAAUUAAACAACAAUAAUAGUAAAUAGAAAAACAUCACACUUAUUCUCCUCAAAUAAAUUUGAUACUUCGAUUUUUGUACUUAAGAAAAAAUGGAUAUCUGGAAAAUUAUUUAAUGAACUAACGCUUUAUACACCAACAACAUGAACACCAGCUUUGUUUGUGUGUGUUGCUCUUGUGUUUCUACUGACCUCCCUGUCCCCACUCUCCUCACUCUUAAACCAGUUCUUUUCCUAAGCAAUAAAUCCUAUUACCUUAUUUACCUGCUUAAAAACUUCUAUUGGUUCCCUGUUGGGUAAAUGAGAAAAUCAAAACCCAACUUGGCAAUAGGCCCUUCCCAGGCCCCAGCUGACUUUCUCUUGGAGCUAUUACCCUCAUGUCUGCCAGGCUGGGCACUUUAUUCAUUCUGUUUUUCUCUAUGUUCUUCCUCUACAAUCAUUCUCACCUGCCCAGCUCCAUCUCAUCCUCCUAGGUAAAGCCUUUGGUGACAAACUCCCUGUCCCUGGCAGCUCCCCACCCUCUCUCCCAGCUUUCCUCGGAUCUCUGAAAUGCCAUCUAAAUGUCUGUCACUUCCCUCAGAUACAGAAAAGGUCCUAUUUCUUACUUUCUCUGAACCCCUGUAUACCCAGCAAGGAGCCCAGCACAUAGUGGGCAGUGAAUAGCUAAGAAACAAAGUUUUUCAUUCUGCAAAUCACUUUCUACCUUGUUUCCAAGAGCUUCAGGGCAGUUUUCCAUAGUCUAACUCCAAGAGGCCCCUUGUCUUCACAUGGAAAGCCCAAGAAGUAGAUAAUGAGAGUUCUCUGGGCCCACACCAAUCAUUCCUGUAGAACAAAUUGAUGGUGUUCUCAGGGAGUGACACUGUGGGACACACCCCUGGGAAGCACUUGUCGAAAACUUUCCCCAUAGGUAUGUCAAGCAAAAUGUUGGGGGAGGGUGCAAAAAUGUUUCCCUUCCUAUUCAACAGAUCAGCACAUCUUAGAAAGAGAAAAUGACAGAGGGAGAGUAGAAGAGCAGAGCAUGAAAGAGAGGGUGGCUAUCCAAGGACAGUCUCUGCUGUCUGUCAGCUCACACCUCCUGCCACUCCCUGCUACUUAGGAAAUAGUUCCAGCCAAUUUCUUGCCCUUUUCCCAUUAUUUUUUCUAUCUGGGCCUUUCCACCGCUAACCAAAAAGGAAAAGAAAAAUUUGAUUUCCACCAAAAAUCAAAAUAUGUGAUUUUACUAGGAUUAUUUAUCUAGAUAAAUAUCUCUCUUGUCAGUAUUAAUGUGUAUAUUACAUUAAGUGGUAUUUAUUUUGUACUGGCAAACAAAAAGAAUAACUCAGAGUUUCUACUCUCUCUAUAACCAGCAAUAUCCCACAAGUUAAGUCCAUUUUUCUCAGAUAGAGAAAUAUUCUCAGAAUAAACUGGCUUAUCAUUCCAAUGUUUUACAUUUAAAUUGUCUGAAGCUUCUUUUCCUUUUUUCAGCUAUUUAAUGUUCAGCAUCUGCAGAUUCUAGUUCCAGAGUUAGAUCAGCCUGGAGAGCUUCUAAUUUCUUGAACUCUCCGUUCUGACCUGAUUCCUACCCCCAGGGAAAUAUAAUGCAGCUUCUGGAAUCUUUCUAAACCACACAAGGACUGUUGUGGAAGGACAUUUCAGUCAUCAGAGUUUAUGACUCAGAGCUUUUGAGCAUCUAAGUUCCAGUAUCUGUUUUUAAACUGUCUCUUGAUCAGAGUUUAGGUCUUCUAGUUUCUCCCUAUUUUACAUUAUAGAAACUAAAUCAAAGGAUUAAUAAGACAAACAAUGCUUGCAAAUAUAAAGUGCUAUUGCAAUGUUAGAUUAUGAUAAUAGGGUAUUUUAAGGAUGACAAGAAUAAAUAUAAGGGGAGAGAAGGACUCAUGAAUUUGGGGCAGUCAUUUAGGAAUUAACCUAAUAUUUAUUUCUACUAUAUGCCAAGCAAUUUCACAUACAUUCUCCCAUUCAAUCUUUAACUCUGUGGCAUAGACAUUAUCUCCAUUUUAAAAGAGAAAACUGAAGUUCUGAGGGGUUAAAUCCCUUGCCCAAGAGUCCCACUGCUAGUGGGUGCCAUAGGAUUUGAACUUAGGUCCUUUGACUCCUGGUUCAAAAUUAUUUUCACUGCAUAACUUUUGCUGAAAAGACUAGCACAGUCCCUGGUUAGAAAUUUGUUAUCCAUUAUCUAUGACCCACUUCUAGGGCUUACUAAAAUAAAUAGUUUUAUUCUACUACAACCUCAAAAGUAUCUCAAAAAAUGAAAUUGAGAGGCUCCCCCACUUCUUAGAAUGGUUUCACUUAAGCAAGAACCAAGAAAGGUAGAAUUUGUAGAGAUGUGUAACGGCUCCCAGGAUCCUUUACAAACAGGCAUAAACCCCUACCUAAUGCAGACUACUCAAUGCUCCCUCCUUUUGGACUAAAUGGGGCCCUUUUACCGAGGAAGCGCUAAUAUGGCAUCAGGCUAUUAAUGGGAAAAGCAUUUACUUUAGAUUAAGAAGAGUGUAAAGCAGUGUGGAGGGGGGGCUCUAUGACUGGCUAUUAGGGAUGUUAAUUAAAUAUUUAUAAUGUCUAAAUUAGCAUAGCGAAAGCUCAAUUCAUCAAUUUGUUCUGGUCUGUUUGUAAGGGGGAAAAAAUAACUCCAAAUGCCCCUGAAGAAAGACACUAUGUGGGUCAAUAAGAAGAUGACUGAACAAUUUAUUAUGAUUGUGGUAAACUUUUUAUUUGAUUUUAUUUAAAGGUACUUGUUGCAGCACCUUACCUUAAAGACCAUUUACCACAGUCAAUAUACUGGAGGGCCAUGCAUUAUUCAUUGUUAUCCAAUGAAAAAUUUUCUAAGGUGCUUCAAUGCUGAAUGCCUGAUUGAUUAAUUGAUUGCUUGAUAGUUACUUCCAAAAAGUAAGGACUAGAUUUAAUGUUUAGAACCAGGCGCUGGAAGCUAGAAGCUCUGAGUUCUUCCUCUAUUGCUAACUAGCCUGCUGAAGGACUUAGAUUUCCAAGCCUUAAAAUGAUAUCUUGCUAAUAUAGCUGUUUUUAGGCUUCCUGGUUAAUAAUUAAGAGGACUAGUUGGAUCUUCCACUGAAAACUGCUAAGUGUGCGGCUGCUUCUCCUCAGAUUGGGGUGGAAAAGCCAAGCAUAUUAAUACCUAAAUACCCACAGCCUGUGGGCAUUAUGUACAUGCUUAAUGAAUGUACUUUAUGAAUUCCAUUAGUUACAAUUACUUUUACCUCAUUUUAUUAUAGGAACGUCUCAAAAGGGAAAAGCCAACUGUCUAACUUAUUUUCAACUGUAAAUGAGACUGGCUGCAAUGGAGACUUCAUCACCAGCACAUAAAUGGAGUUGUCUAUAGCUAGCAGAGUCUCAUCACCACUCACACACAUUUGGGUAAACACAGUUAUGGGCGAAAAGUCUGGAAUAUUUUACAGACUCUCUCCACACUGGCCCAGCAGUUUCACAGUCAUAUUUAAUAAAUGCACUCCUUUCCCCAAAACUAAAAAUAUUAAAACUUUCUGAGGACUUUUCGUUUGUUUUGGCUAUAAUUAACAUUUUUCUAAUUUGCGGGUAUUUUGUCUGCUAUUCCUAUGAAGAAGUGAGCACAAAAAACAUUUUGAACCUUCUUCAUAUGGGUGCAUCUAAGUUCCCUCUCUUACUUUCCCCCUUUGGACAAUCUGGCCUUCUCUAGAGGGAGGGCUGGCGUGAAAGGGUUAAAGGUUCUCUGGUCAAAAUAGCCCAACAGAAGGAGCUGGGCCCAGAGCUGAAAUCUAAGUGCUAAUGACCGUUGCCCUUCACCCUACUGCUGUCCACUGGCCGGACCUGCGGCCGGGUGGGGCCCCGGACUGGGAGAGGGCACAAUAUUCUGCAUUUAACAUUUGAACUUCUCCUAUCCGAGGCAGCAGGCCGUUUUGUCCUGGGGUCGCUGACCCUGGCUCCCCCAUCAGCUGCCCUGAAACCUUAAUUGAAUGACAGAUGGUCAUUUUCGGGGGCGCCAGAAGCUGCGGGCGGCCAGCGGCGCGGGGACUGCGGCCCCAGGCCCCGGCAGUCCUGCCCGGACUCUGCCAGCAAGGGGCGGGCGGCAGAGGUAGCAGGCGGCUUGCGGAGCUGGCCUAGCCUGCGGGCGCGACGGGAUCUGCGGGCGUCGGGCGAACGCGUGGCAACGAGCACCUGGAGGAAACCCCGGCGUAAGAGGCCGCGCGGGCGUUAGAUCACCAGGUCCUAGCGUCCCUGCCAAUUCCCAGACCGAGGGCCAGACGCAGACUAGGCCCGAGCUAGGCCACCCGGGAGCCUGGCCCGGCCUCCGGCCCUGGAAGGCGGCAGAAAGGAGACAAAACCUCUGUCUUUCUAGGCCGAAGGCCUGAGUUCCAGCAUCCUGGGUCCCCACGCGUCGGGGUCUGGGGCCAAGACCGCCCACAGUCGGCGCCCAAGCCCAAGACGCCCAUCCCGGACCUGGCCUUCCCGCCAGGGCCCGCGCGCAGCUGGGAGCUGUUUAUUUAUGGCUGCAAAUGUGUGUGUUCAAGAGAGAGAGGGAAUUGAUCUUUGCCUGGACUUAAAGAUGGAGCCGAAGAAGCUGGAGGGAAUUUGGGCUUGUGCGUCUGGCCCAGACCCUGUGCGCCGAGCCCGAGGUCUAUCCUCCCCGCACCUCUCACCUCGCGACCUUGCAGGAAUCCGCGGGCCCGGAUGCUGCCCAGCUGACCCUCCUGCCCCGGGCCUGGCUGCAGAGAAAGUCUUCGGGCAGGAGGCCAUCCUGUUCCUGUCUUUAAAAUGAGCACAAUAAAAGGGGGCAAAUCCUCGAACGCGAACCUGAUCUCAUGUCACAGAAGCAACUUGCCAUGAAAUCCGCUAAUGCGCUGCGACUCGCCCACCAGGAUAAAUAACCCCAUCGUCCGUGUAAUCAGCACGUUCCCAAUGAAGUCGUUUUCCUAGAAUGCGCUCUCCGCCUGCCACACUUGAGGAAUCCAGCCCACAGAGGUUUCGGAAACCCAGUUUGAGUGAUUCCAGCCUAGACUGAAACCCUGAGAGCCUCCCAGGAAAGAGAGCCCGGCCUGGGCCAAGCAGUCGGACACACACACACACACACACACACACACACACACACACACACACACACACACGGACUGCGUAGCUCUUCGCAGGAUCGAAGGCUGGAUGCGGAUCUGGGAGGCGGUGGCUAAGCGAACCAGGAAGACUGUGACGGAAACCAAUACAGCAGUGUCAUCUUGAAAGUUAUUUGGAAGAACAGGACCUGGAGUCUGGGUUUGAAUCAAAAAAUUGUGAGCAAGGGACAGAUCACCCUGUAUUUCUCUGGAACGAGGCAGAACUGAGACCUGCUCAGCUGAACCAGCGUGGCCACAUAUUGGGGACUAGGAAAUUGUUCUCAGACACUGUAGCACACACAUCCUCUGACAGCGAGCUCACUCCUGCGCAGUGGGCUUCUGGUUCUGCCACUGCACUCCACAAACGCCCUACAGGCCUCCUCCAGGUUUUGCCAGGCAAAUGAAACGAGCACAACUCGAUAGUAAAUUAUUUUGUUCAGCCUUCUCUCUUUUUAUGAAAAUAAGAGGCAACACUUUGUCAUUUUUAAUCACAUAAGCAGACAAUAAAUCUAAUUUUGAUAUUGA